GUUUGCUCUGAAUCAGCUGCUGACUCGAGCGGUCGUGCUGCAGCACUCACCGGCGGAAUGUAGGACCUGUUUGGAAAAGCUACAAUAGUCGGAGAAGUGGGUGGAACAGAGAACCUGCUUUCUGGAACGUUCCAGAACAUUUUGGAACCAGUCAUAAAAGACAUCCGACGUACACUUCUGACGUUUUGGGUUCAUUUCUGGUAACUGUCUGUUAAUUUGUUAACUCAGUAUUAUACAUGUACCAUGUAAUGGUAUGUAAUGCACAAGUAAAACAGAUUAGCUUGUACAAGUUGUCAACACAACACAGUGCAUGAUCCACAGAAAGUACCAUGUCAGACUUCAUAAGAAACAAAAGUUAAACAAAACUUUUAUAUAAAUUCAUUGAUACAUUGAAAUUGAAGAUUCAAUGAUACAUUUAUACAGUGUAUUAUCUUUUUUUAAUUUUCAGUUUUUUAGCCUCCUUUGUCCUAGUCCUCAUCAGUGAACAUACUUUCAAGGAACUUUAUAAAUAUAAUAAAUAAGUGAAUAACAGAACAACAACAACAAAUAUAAACCAUUUUUGUAAUAUUUAAUAAAUAAACCAAGUUUCACUUCAUAUAUAUUCAACACAUCAUAAAGCUCUUUUCUAAUAGAGACAGAGAAACCAAAAACACAAAAACAAUAUAAUACACCUGUUUACCUGCAUCUGCCCUUGCUGUUCUUCUAAAGUGUGUCUAAUGUGAUAAGAGUAAUUCACUUCAUUGACACAAAUGAUGACUGCAUGGAAAGUGAAAACUCGGUUAUAGAGUCUUCUGGAUUCAACAAAGACAGAUUUCAAAAAUGGACAUCACAAUGUAGGUUUCAGGUGCUCUGUAACUCGAGAGUUACUCUGUAACUUUCCUUACAACUUUGCUAGGAAGUUUCUAGAAUGCAACAAUCAGGUUCUGGAAGUCAAAAUCCCAUUCACUUUCUCCAUAGGGCAAUGGAUUUUCAACAAUAACAUAUAAACCUUUAAAGACAGACCUACUUUAAACUAUGAGUUUGCUAAUCGAUUGUAUAUAUUUUUGUUGAAGCCACCAGCCCACAUUAUGUAAACUUGUUUUUGUUUGUUUUUAUAAUUUUUUUUAAUUCCUGGUAAAAAACUACAUUCAGUAAAUAUUUAGAAAAUCAGAGUACACCAAUCCAAAGUCCACUCCCAAGAUAUACAGUGAAUGAUGCAGAGAUAUUUUUUUUGGUUAUGACAUUUGCAAUGCCUCAUUAGAAUACAUUUCUUUCACUUUUGUAUCAUUGUGUUCAUCUGAUUUUCAAACACUCUUUACUUAAAAUCAAACAUUUUGUAAUGUUUGCGAUUCACCUUUUAAAGGUGCAGUAUGUGAUAUUGAUAUCUAGCAGUUGACAUGGGUACUGCGAUCCAAAUUCAAAAGAUUGCAGGUUGCCAGAUUGAGAACCAAGGCUUGAAUGCCAAGGCUUUUUUGGUAGGGUGGAAUCUGCGAUCUCUGAUCCAGUUUGUUUGCUCGCUUCCAUGCCUGCAGUACUGAGAAGUUUUCCGUUAACUGGCAACCAAGUUGUGUCGAAAUACUAUUGGGUAAAUUAGCAGUGGGCGGAAUCACACAGACCAAAAAAAAAAAAAAA
This is a long non-coding RNA of Carassius auratus (goldfish), 1611 nucleotides long. RefSeq lists it as uncharacterized. The record is from RefSeq and is a predicted model, not a curated record. The transcript has 2 exons. NCBI's taxonomy places the organism in Eukaryota, Metazoa, Chordata, Actinopteri, Cypriniformes, Cyprinidae.